CAGCCAUUGAGGAAGGAGCUCUCUGCCAUGGAAGAGAGGAGAUGCCUGCUGAAGAAGUGGUGCUUGACACUGCUGUGGGAUGAAGAACCCUGGCACCUUUCAUACAAAGGCUAUCUUCUGCAAACAUCGAUUAAGCCUUACAGUGCCUUGAGAGGCACUCUUAUGUACCUUGAGAGCAUGAAAACAAUGAACAAGGAAUUUUCAAUAGGUAACCAAUAGAAAAUGCCGGCAUAGGGUAUGGAUGACCUCACACCUGUCUGGAGUCUGUCUCAGACAUUCAGUUUCUUCUAGGAGAGUUACUGAUGUCCCAGGAGAUGUUCAGGCUUUUUCUCCUAAAGAAAAAUGAUCACUCCAGGAGAAAAACAAUCUGGGAACAACUAGGGGUAAAUAACUCCCAGGAGAGUAUCUGUGACUUCUCUCAAAGAGAGUAUCAUCCUCCAGGAGUCUGCCCCUAUCACUCCCAUGGAGACUGUGCUACUCAUUGGACCCGGCUGUUUCAUCUGGGAGCAGAACAUGCCCCCUUCGUAAUCCCCAUAUUAUGCUGCAGGGAAACACAGGCUGACCAUGGGUAGCCUGGGUCAGCCAAUCAGGGCUGUUCUAUACACUGCUACCAUCUGUUGUCAGGCUGACUGAGGGAGCCUGCAGAGUAUGCUGAGAUGUAUGAACUGCCCACCCCCAUGGCUGCAUAGUGUCAGUACUGCAAUCUCUUCACUCUUCAGGGCCUCAGCAUCGAAAUGUCUGUAUACACAGCUCUGGGUAAAUUUCUUUACUAGGAGAACAAACCUGGGAGAAUUCUCCUAGAUUAUUUGAAUGCGUGUAUGUUGCCUCAGGCUGCACAUGAUACACCCCUAUCAUUUUAGAAUUCAAAUAAUCUGGAGGAAGACAUUUCAUUAGGAAGAAAAGGAGGACAAUGAGAAACACACCUGCCUUUUGAUGUAUACCCUAGUGCUUAGUGCAUUCAUUGAGGACUGGGAGAUCUGGGUCCUAGGCCCUAGAUGGCCUGAAUGACAAUGUGAACCAACAUCUCUGACUUACCAGGAAAGAGCCUUAGUCAGAAGGCUAAGGGCCAGAAAGUAUUUAGGGUAUCUAUCUUCCAAUCUUUAUGUACACCUGGGCCCAUGAGCAGAGAGAAAUACAACCACUGUGAGGCUAUGAAAGAUGCAAUCUUAUUCUGUAGUCCAGUGAAGAGGGCAUUCCUUUGGUAGGGGGGGACCCCUGGGUUCUGCUUCUUGUUUCUGAUGUCAUUUAUGCAUUUUACACCAACUAGUCUUUGGAUAAAAUGCAAUAAGGCAAUGGAACAAGCUUCCCUAGGGAAGAUUUAGAAUUUCCUUUAUCAGAGGUUUUCAGAAGGAAUCUAGAUAAGUAUCUGUCUGGGAUGGUAGAAACAUGGAUUUGCACAGAGGUUUGGGCUUGAUGAGCCUGAAGGUCCCUUCCACCUGCAUCCUUUCAUAAUUCUAAACCAGAGUUUGGAUUAGAAAGCAUGGGCUUGAUUAUACCAAUCAUUUACAAAAUGGGCAAAUUCUAUAGAUGUUUAUUACACCAGUUCCUAAAGUGUACCUAGUUUGUUUGUUUGUUUGUUUGUUUUUAAUAAAUAAAAGCCAGAAACUG
Long non-coding RNA from Alligator mississippiensis (American alligator), 1608 nucleotides. RefSeq lists it as uncharacterized. NCBI's taxonomy places the organism in Eukaryota, Metazoa, Chordata, Crocodylia, Alligatoridae. The transcript is spliced from 3 exons. The record is from RefSeq and is a predicted model, not a curated record.